UUGCAAUUGAUGGCCCAGGACUGAAG
RNAcentral lists this non-coding RNA (26 nucleotides) under Mus musculus (house mouse). The record is from RNAcentral. Lineage: Eukaryota; Metazoa; Chordata; Mammalia; Rodentia; Muridae.